This is a long non-coding RNA of Gasterosteus aculeatus aculeatus (three-spined stickleback), 8158 nucleotides long. The record is from Ensembl. Lineage: Eukaryota; Metazoa; Chordata; Actinopteri; Perciformes; Gasterosteidae.
GGUUAUUAACCCUUUCGGUGCUGCAGAUUCAGGCGCCUGCGCGUGGCGGGGAGGUUUACGCGCGCGUGCCGCUGAGGGGCGAGUUUGUUCUCAACAGGUUGCGUCUACGCGGUCACAGGUGCACGCGGUCACCUCGCCGCGUGGUGUCAGCUGUGGGUUUGCACGUGCAAGAAAGAGGUGGCGGCACCUCCGCUGCGCUCUGCGGUCAGAAAACGGCAGGUCCAUUUGCCCGGGAGGCUGGAAAAAAAAGCCUCUUCGGAUGGGGUGGAUGCUUUUAAAAAUCGUGGCAGCAUUUUAAAUAUCAUUAGGAAGAAUCCACUUUUAAAACUUUUCAGAAACACCUACUAAAGAAAUAUACAUUUUGUUUAAUUUAAAAUGUAUGCUGCUUUUCCCCCAUAAGCGUCAGAGAAGCAAGAAGCAGUUUGUAACAGACCACCUCCGCUGCAUUCUGCCUGCUGGCCACCAGGGGGUGUUUCCUCUGGUUGUAUAGAAUUCUAUGAGAAAAUUCUUCAGGGUGUGCAUCAGGGCUGGCUUACUGUGAUUGACAGCUCGCUGUUGCUCCACCCUUACGUAGAUAUGAGUGACAUGUUCCAGGAACGUUGCCACAGUGUGUAAUCCUGCUAAGCGGGCCACAGCCGCUAACAUUAACGUUUUACAUUGUUGGGUCCCUUAACAGGCAAUUAUUUUAAUUGAAAUCUUCCAAGAAUCCUGAUGCACUGCUGUUUCAUGCUACAAUACUUUUUUUAAAGUAGGCUUCAGCAUAUGAAUCGGUUAUUUCUUUCUUUUCUGCAAAUAUGCUUUUGAGGAAGAGGACUAAACUGUUUAUUUCAUGCUAUUAAUUUAGCCAGGUGGUGUUUCCGGCACAGGUCACUGUUCUACACCUGGAAGCCACCUCGAUGCCCAUACCUCAUCCCAUCAUGCCCAGCUUCUCUCUUCAGUUGGUGAUUAAUUCAUUUUUAUUGUUGUUAUUCACAUAUUUAGAUUCUGUUCUGAUACCCAUACCACCCAUUGUACUUAAAGACUAAAAUACAUAGCAGGUCAGAAAGACCGGGAUGCGCUACAAGCAUCUGGUUGUGUUUUGCAGCAUACGAGCCAACAUGCUUUCUGGUUAUUCAACCCACAGUCAUUUGAGCCGCAAAUAUUUCAACUAACAGGUCAGGAGAUCGAGGAGCUUUUGAUAUCCGGUUAAAUGCGUACUGCAUGAAACCGAGCGAACUCGCUGAAAGUGGAAAAAGAAAACACAGCUUAUGUGUUACAUCAUGGUGCGUUACAAUCCAUCGGCUGUUGGAUUAUAUGACUAUGCGUCUGUUCAGCAGGUUCCAACAUCCCCCCCCACCAAGGCUUCAAACCCAGAACCCUUAUCGACUUACCUGAUGUCACCCAGUAAAGGUGGAGUGUGAGAGGUCACCCCGGGUGUAAAUGUUGUAAAUAGGAAUUGGACAGCUUCCUGGGGCAUAUUUUCCACUGCAAUGCCUCAUCUUCAUGAUACCGAGGCUGAAUUGACCAUAUGAUACAGAAAUGGACAUAGAGGCAGACAUGGUGUCCGUGUGACUGACUCCAGGUUUGUUGCACGCUGGGACGUAUUCUCUGUGCGUUGGGACGUGCAGAGGCCCGAGCACAUGUGGCGCCCCGGCAUCAUCCCUCACACUCGCACGUCCGAUGGUUCUUUCACACGGCCGUCGCCCUCUAGUGGUCAGCCGGCAUCAGGGCACCCGGUGCAGGCAGUGAAUGGGCUGGUGGUGGUGGUGGUCCAAACUCAGGGCCCAACCUCCGGCUGACGGGGCAGCGGAUGGGAGGCCACGUGCACCCCACCCAGGCACAAUGUCGGGUUUCCCAACGUGCGCCCCCCCCCCUCCACUGGCAGUCACCUUUCAACUGCUUGGAGGGGAGAGAAGAUGCGGAAAGAUAACACGAGCAACUGACAGGAAAGAACACACUAUUAUUUUUUCCUUGUAUAAAUCUCUCGAAGCAUUGAGGGGAGUAGAGACAGUGUGAUCUGUGGAGAUAUAUCUUCAACCGCCUCUUCCCUCCUCAGGAGUUAUUUUUAGAAGCUCAAGGUAUUCUUCUGAUGCCCCGUCUGUGCACAAUAUAGUAUGAGAAUUCCAGUCUGAUCACAAAAGGGCCAACGUGUGAUAGAAGGAUCAGUCCGAAUAAGAGCGAGACCGACUCAAAUAGCCGAGGUGUGCGAGUCACGCUCCGCCGCAUAAGUAGGAAGAAGAAGGCACGCGGCGGAUGGGAGGACACGCGUGAUUCUGUUCAAUGGCGCCGGCCCCCCGGGUUGUGAUUCACUUGGGCUGCCGAUUGCUCCUCAUGGUUUGGGAAAGGCCCGUUUUUUUUCCUUUCCUUCCCUCACCAAGUUGUUGCUGGAGAGGAGGCGGAUUUAUACCUCCGAUUGCGGAGCUGAAGUUUUUACGGCCCUCAGAUGAAUUGUUUGAGGGAGGUUAGCAUUUGAUACCCAUCUGCUGUUAUUUGUCCCUGAAAAAUAAUUUGGAUUCCUGCGCUUUAAACUCCUCUGCAGAAAUGUGGAGGGGUUUAGUAGGGUUUUCCUGAUUGGGAGAAUGUGUCCAUCAAUGGGAAAUGACCAAAUAAAAAAAUAAAGUGGAGUAUUAUUUUUGAUUAUAACCGAACACUUUGUACUGAGCAAAGAUGUUGUGACGAUGUGCUCUGACUGUGUGAAACUGGGUGGCACGUUAAUCGUGAUGUCUUAACAAUAUACAGAGUGAGUCUUUAUUUAGUUUUUCUUCUGUCCUCAUUGCGGCACAGCGGGAUGCUUUGUUUCAAAGAUAAAAGUAAAUAUUGGUUUUGUAAAUAUGAAGAACGCACAAAGACGUCAAAGAUGGCUCUUUGUGUGCAAACAAAUAAAUGAACCAGAUAUAUGGAGAAAACCACGAGACAAGAGAGAAAAUAAGAUUUAUGGAGUUAACAUGUUUGCGGUUCUUUGUAGAAAUUUUAAAAAAGAAAUUCAAAUGUAUUUUUUUCCUAGGAAACAGUUCAUAAGAAGAAAUACCACAAAGUCUAAAGCUGGUACUUUUCUACUAUAAUAAAUGAACUAGCUUAGAAACCGUUAAAUGGAUAUCUGAAUUCAACAUAGUCACAUUUCAUAUUUCUAUUUGAAAGUAUACCAUUACACCACACAGGUGCAUGCACAGAGGACUUUGCUGUAUUUGGCCCCAGACACCGGACCUCCCACUGCGUGUGCCGUGGUGAAAGUGAGCCUGGCGUUAUAACGCCGUAGAGCCUGACUGACCGGUGAACUCUCAUCCUCUGGAUACGCACAGCAGCCGGAGUGCUGUUAAUUCAGCGGCGGGAAACGUCAAUCACCGGCAGUAACGGUUACGGCGUUGGACUCGCACCACGGCAUAAAAACCAAAGGCUGAGUUUUGGAACACAAAGCUGCUACAGGACAUAAAACCCCUGCUAGCAAUUGGCCCACACGCCUACGUGCAAUUUCUCUCCUCUGGUGAGCCCUGAGAUCUGAUUGGUCAAGCCAAAGACACCACAGGGGUCCCAGUGGUCUCUAUGCUGCAACAGCAACAGACGAGACGAUGGGAAUAUAAAGAGUGAAUGAGGACCAUUGAAAAAAAAAACACUAAAGCAAUUUUCUAAUCGGAAAGAAUUGAGCGCACUAAAGCAGCUAAUUAGUUUCGAAAUUAUAAUUUAGUUGAUUAUAAUUGCUACGUGUGUGGACUGCAACAGGAAGAAACACUGUGAAAUUGGCAAACAAUCAAAAAUGAAUCCGAUUCUUUUGAAAAUCAUGUGUAUAGCAGCUCUAAAGAGUGAGGUGUGCAAGUUUUCCCUCAAUGUUCUUUUAAUACAAAUGGCUCGUAUGACGCUGCACAUUCGUUCCGUCUGCAGCGGUGCACAGAAUGACGCCACACAAGCUCAAUAUGUUGCCGCCCUUCUUAAGUCUUCUGCAGACGACACAAAUAUGACUUUAGGCGUCCAAUCGCCAAACAGCGUUUCCUGCUUCCACAAUGGACACGAAGAUUCUCAUUAUCUCACCUGUUCACCAUUUAACCGUUUCAAAAUGAUCAGUUAGACGGAAAUAUAUAUACAUGAAAAGUAUGUCUGGGCCCUCGCCACAAUGAAAAUAAAUAAAGGAAAGAGCAAAGGGGGACGCCCUUAGAUAGGGCUCGUUACUAAGGCCACCGACCCAGCUAGUUAAACUGGUUAAUGCAAGAGCAACAAGAGCAGCAGUUGUUGUCUGAUUAUCCACCUGAAGGAUACCAAAGUUGAAGACGAGAUUCCAAAAAAUGGAAAAAAUACCUUUGCACCGCUGGUCAAUGUCCCGACGCGUCACACUGUGACUCAGAUCAAACUCCUCUUCUGUCAGGUUUGACUUUCUUAGUAUUACAUUCAUGCAUUCCAGUUGAUUACAUCACAUUAAUACAAUCAUAGCUGUGCAUUGGUAUUAUUCUAUUGAUUGCAGUUUUAAAAUGACAGUGGUGUUACACUAUUCUUUAUUGAUUACAUCGUUUCCAAAUCAUGGCUCUAUGCUGGUGUGUACACUAAAUACAUUUGAUUAAUUAGGUCUAAUUUAUGAACCAGGUCAUCAGUUCAUUUCUAAUAAUCUACACGGGUAACGUGUUUGUUUUUUUUUCAGCAAUUCACACGACCUGCUUCAUCCCACAUGCCCUGACCCCCCCCCCCCCUUACUACCGCCAGGCCUACGCGCAGUACCGUGACACCACUGAGACUAGUGCGUAUUGAUGAUCAUGUAGAUCACAUGACAAGGAUGAGUGAAGCUGGAUGAAGUUAUGACAAAAUAUUAGAGCGAACAGGGAGCCACAGCUCGCCAUUGGUCUGCUUUGUUUGUUUGUGUGACUGGUUAUUUCUCCUGCUGUCUGGAACACACACGCAUGACAGCAGUCAGCUGGCUCUUGGCUGCCCUCCUUUGUGCUCCCUUCAAAUGCAAUUUUGAAGAGAGGAGGACGUGAGCUGCUGCGAAGCGUCAGAUCUCUUGGCCAUUGUCAGAGCUCUUUGAUGCCAAUACGAUACCGAGGCUCCUCUCGGGUUUCUAAUAGCAGGGCUUGUAGUACCACGCAAGACUGUGGGGCAUGUAAGAUUUAAGCCGUGCAUAUCAUUCACAGCUUGACAGAGAAUCAGAAGAAGAAGUGCUCAUCAAACAUUGUAGGCAACAUGAAUGUACAUGAACAUUCUUCAAAAGCAUUGUUGAAUAAUGGAAUAAAGUAAGACGGGGCUUCAUCUGCAGUAAAAGGGCUGCAGGCAGUAGCCCAGUUCUAUCUGGGGUCUGACUUUUGGAUUACAUUUGACAUGAAGAAAUACAUGAUAGAAUGUUAAAAUACUUCUUGAAUACAGUUUUUCUGAAAUGUUUGGCUUAUUUUGAAGAGGGCUUCAAAUUCCGGCAACAAAUGCGGCCUCUGUUUCCCGGAUUUGGAGCAGAUGCGACGAUAAAUUGCGUUCCCGUGAAGCUUUGCUCCUAAUUGUCAUGGCAACAGUUGAACCAGCGGCGGAAGAGGCGGCAGCAUCCACUUUUGUAAGUAUUUGGUUUCAGCUCACUGCCACAUUUACCGACACAAAUGUUAAAACACAACAUUAGUAGCUGACGAGAUAAACGUUACCGGCUGGAUUGGGACACAGUAGGAAGUUUCACUGUCUGAUGCUCCGGUCCAGCGCUAAUAACAAAAGACAAUUAACAAAUUUCAUUUUUGCAUAUAAUUAAGUCCAAUUGCUGUUGAUGUGUUCGGCUGGAUUAAAGUUGGUGUGUCUGUGUUUCCCGAGAAGCCGACUUUGGCCCACAUGUUAAGGGAUCUUAAGGUGUCACCAAUUAGACAACAUGCGUGCACGGUGGCUCCCGUCUGCCGGACCUGGUGGGUCACACGAAACCACUGUGGUUGCAGUGUGGUGAAUGGGGUUUUAUCCUCGUGCCAGAGUUGAGGACUUUGUAGAUCAUCUGCCGCCUGCUUGCAGCACACUGUUUGACAUGCGCCGCACUCGCCAGCGCACUUUUUUCCGAUGCACUUGUAAUAUUUUCUGCAGAAAUAUCAACACUUGACAUUGCAAAAUUAGCCUUGUGUAGCCAUUGUCUGUCAUGGAAUCACGCAGGGUGAAUAAAAAUGUUUAGACAGUCGCCUCUUUCUGUGUGUGUGACAGACUCAUUAGGUGUUGGAUUAUUAUUUUCAGACUCGUUGCCACUGAAAUCAAUCCAGUUCAUUUUUUGGGUUAACAGAAUAGGUGUCCCCCCCCCCCCCCCCCCCCCGUGUGGAUGUAGAGACUGUCUCAAGCUCUGUGCAUCAAUUUUUACUGAAUAAAGCUCGAAUGCAUCAUGAUGUAACUCUGUGCAACCUCCGCUAUUAUUUUCUCUGAUGUCCGUUAUGUUAAUAGGAAAGAAGCAUCAAAUGUCGGUCAAAAUGUAGUAAAUGUCAGACUUGUCACAAUUCAUCCGACAGCGAUUACUUGUGCAGACACACAAACAUUUGUAUAUUUGUUUUAUUUCACGAUUAACGGAAUCCAAAGUGUUACAAAUGAGGCGACAAAAGUAAAGUUUAAAUAAGAGCGCUUCCAUCCGCUUGGUAAAUGAAGUAUUUACCAGAGCAAGUUUGACAAAGUCUCCCCGGUGCUUCUUCUCUGCACUGAUGUCGUAUUUUGAUCUUGUCCAUUAAAAAAAAGCUUCAAGUUCAUUAUCUUGGAUCCCAUUUUUUUUCAAACAAGGUGGGCCUUCACAACACUUUUAGAAGAAGCCAGUUAAGAUUUAUGGACAUCACCUCACAGACCUAACAGAUGUUCAUCCAGAGGCAUCCGCAGUCCAUCGGCUCCCUCCCGUCUGCUGUAUUGGUGAGAGAUAAUCCACAGCAACGCUUUAUGCAUGAAUGGAAUUUUGAUUUUUCUUCAAUAACCCUUUUUUAAAUACACAAUAGCUAAACAGGCUUGGAGAAUAAAAUGCAUGUUGGAAAUAUGUGUAUUGACUGCUUCUUUGUCCUGCCUGAGCUCCGUGUCCUCAACUGAAUGCCUGAGAUCCUUCGAUAGGCUCCAACUGGCGUGUUUCAUGUUUCAUUGUCCUGCGUGAUAUCAGCCCUCCUCAUCGUCUGCCUCUGAUAGAUGGGCAGCGAGUUUAAUGCAGCGCCAUUGACACCGGUUUGCUAUCUAGCAUCAGACAUCUGUGGCGGUUUUGUCAAAACGACAAAGACAGAUGUUGGUGUGUGUGUGUCCCUUUAGGCAAACAAAGGAGACAAAACUGUUCCCAAUCUUGAGUGCCAUUUGUCUCAGAUCAAUAUCUGUCAUAUAUCCUGUUCAAAAAAUGUGUAAAUGCAGUGUUUUCAAAGUUGUGUGCUGAUGGAAUAUCAGGUACAUUUGAGGUGAAUUCCCUUAUACUGUAAUUGUAUAUAAAAAGUUGACAUCAUCCAUUGGGUUGUGAGCUUCAGGAUUAUGAUAUUUAAGAUUGCCGUUUUCAAUCAACAUACAUGAAAUUAAAGCACAUUGUAUUGGCAAAAACCUGAAACUAGAGAUUGAGACCAUAAACUAAUGUUUAAAAUGGUCACAGAGGGAAUAAAUCAAGUCGUUUCCUCAGACUUUCGGCAACCAGAGGCGUCGCCCUCCGGUGGUCAGUGGUUUCAGACACAUCAGCCCUGGCCUCACUUUUCCGGACCAGAGGUUUCUGCUGGGACGUGCAUUUAAAGUGAAAGAAAAGUCUUGAGUGGACAGAAACUAGACCUUUGAUGGUGCAAACUGAAGCCAUAUUUAUGCAAACUGAAAAUGUUUCAUUUUAAGUGUGUUUUCACUUAUGGUGACACUUUAGGGCUCGUGUUGUCUCUUAAUGAGAAAAGAAGUCAGACAGCGCCGGUUUUUCUAUGUCGUUAACAAGCUAAGAAUGGCUGGAAACACUCAACGCUCAAACAAGGCCAGUAGAAAACGGUAACAGGGUCAAAAAACACUUCAGAGCUCAUGAUUUAUUCUGAGCUCCUGGAGGCUCACAGGCCGGAUUUCUUGAGCAUUUCAUCAGUGGCCUUCAGCGGCGGCCGUGUCAUUGAAGUGAGAUUGAUAGCCGUCUGAGCGAGUGCAGCUACAGCAGCUCACCGAGGCCGGAGGACACCGACCGUAGCCGUGAUCGUGAGAUGACCGAGCUGCGGGGAUUGGCGCUGUGCUUUGGUCGUUACCGUUGCACGCCACCCGCAUUCUGCGGCUGUUAAAUGGAGACAAC